GUUCCACUCGUAAUGUUACACACACACACACACACACACACACACACACACACACACACACACACACACACACACACACACACACACACACACAACAUUAAUACAAAUAGAUGCGCUGCAACAAAGCAACAGAGAUUGGGAUGCUCAUUCUUACAGAGCAUUAUAGUGAACAUGUGAGGCAGAGAUAAACAGACAGACGCAGACAGACAGAUUGAUUUAAAACACUUAGUAACAUGUACUUGUUAUAAGCAAUUCUAAGUGACCAUUACUUUCCCGUUCAUUCCCAUUCAUUGAAGCAUUUCAGUGUUGAGACGCAAAGGUAGUGUAAGUGUUGAGGCAGCGGUGGUAGUGGCCCCUUGACCUCGCAGCGAGGCAGGAAGGGGAGGCGAGGGACACCAGCAGUGACUGGCCUGAAGGCGCCUUGCGUCCCGCCUCCUCUGUGCGACCCUCUCCCUUGAUUGCCUUCAUGCAUCAAUCGCAGCAUGACUUGUGCUCCUCCUCUUCAGUCUCACUUAACUACCACCUUCAUAUUCUAGACACCGCUGAAUGUUGGCAAGCUUUACAUUUAUUAUUUUUGCUUCUUUUUAUUUUCUUAUUUGAUCUUGUUAUAUAUGUAAUGGUGUUUGUUCGUUUUAUUUUGUUGCAGCUGUUGUGCAUAUUUAACAUUCUCAGCGUUUGAAGUGUGUUCUGUUUUCAGUGUUGUUUUCCAUGUAUCCAUGUGUUCUUGCUUGGAGGAAUUUGACACGUUUUAUUUAUGACAUUUCGUGUUUUUGUUCAGUAUUUAUUCUUUCCUCUUUUGUUCAUGUGUAUGUUGUUAACUCAUGCAGUAAAUGAUUUCUGGUGGUUCUGUUUAUGAUGCUUCAUUUUUAGCUCUUUUUAGAAUAGUGAAGCUGCAUCACUUUUUUAUGUGGAUGUUUUGAUAUUUUCAGGAAAGGAUGGCAGGUGGUGCCGCGGUGAACACUCCCAACACAUGCAGGAGGAAAGAAAGGAUGGCAGGUGGUGCCGCGGUGAACACUCCCAACACAUGCAGGAGGAAACAGCGGCGGGAGCUUUUUCCUUCCUCGCGGCCAGACGACGCGGACUGGCUUUUUCCUGCUCUUCCUGACACACUCAC
Scylla paramamosain (green mud crab) is the source of this 1114-nucleotide long non-coding RNA. RefSeq lists it as uncharacterized. The transcript is spliced from 3 exons. The record is from RefSeq and is a predicted model, not a curated record. NCBI's taxonomy places the organism in Eukaryota, Metazoa, Arthropoda, Malacostraca, Decapoda, Portunidae.